AUGGCGCACAACGCAUCGGCGGCGACGACGGCGCAGAAGCGCAAGUACACCGAGGAGGAGGAGACGGCCGGCUUGUGCGCCAACGGCUGCGGCUUCUUCGGCGCCGCCGCCACCGGCAACAUGUGCUCCAAGUGCUACCGCGACCACGUUCACGCCGCCACCGCCGACACCGCGGCGGCGGGGAGCGUCUUCAUCGACCCUGCUGGUUCGACCGCGCCGCCUCCGGCGAAGAAGGCCAGGAUGAUCGUCGCCGUCCCGUCCUCUGAUGGUGCGGCCGCCUCCUCCACCGCUGUGGCGGUUGACCCCGCCGUGACGCCCAUGAAGCAGCCGGCGGUGGCGGCGAACCGGUGCGCGGCGUGCCGCAAGAAGGUUGGGCUGCUGGGGUUCCGAUGCCGCUGCGAGGGCACCUUCUGCAGCGUGCACCGCUACUCGGAGAAGCACGACUGUGGAUUCGACUACAAGGCCGCCGGCCAGGAGCAGAUCGCCAAGCACAACCCGCUCGUGGUUGCGGACAAGAUGACCGGAAGGAUUUGA
RNAcentral lists this ribosomal RNA (534 nucleotides) under Triticum aestivum (bread wheat). RNAcentral describes it as "partial small subunit ribosomal RNA". Lineage: Eukaryota; Viridiplantae; Streptophyta; Magnoliopsida; Poales; Poaceae. The record is from RNAcentral.